RNAcentral lists this transfer RNA (82 nucleotides) under Penaeus monodon (black tiger shrimp). RNAcentral describes it as "tRNA-Leu". It matches the Rfam family "tRNA". Rfam says of the family: Transfer RNA (tRNA) molecules are approximately 80 nucleotides in length. Their secondary structure includes four short double-helical elements and three loops (D, anti-codon, and T loops). The record is from RNAcentral. Lineage: Eukaryota; Metazoa; Arthropoda; Malacostraca; Decapoda; Penaeidae.
GGCAGCGUGGCCGAGCGGUCUAAGGCGCUGGUUUUAAGCACCAGUCUCUUCAGAGGCGUGGGUUCGAAUCCCACCGCUGCCA